RNAcentral lists this ribosomal RNA (1403 nucleotides) under bacterium peng-10. Its description in RNAcentral is "bacterial SSU rRNA". It matches the Rfam family "Bacterial small subunit ribosomal RNA". The record is from RNAcentral.
CAGUCGAGCGGUAGCACAGAGAGCUUGCUCUCGGGUGACGAGCGGCGGACGGGUGAGUAAUGUCUGGGAAACUGCCUGAUGGAGGGGGAUAACUACUGGAAACGGUAGCUAAUACCGCAUAACGUCGCAAGACCAAAGUGGGGGACCUUCGGGCCUCAUGCCAUCAGAUGUGCCCAGAUGGGAUUAGCUAGUAGGUGGGGUAACGGCUCACCUAGGCGACGAUCCCUAGCUGGUCUGAGAGGAUGACCAGCCACACUGGAACUGAGACACGGUCCAGACUCCUACGGGAGGCAGCAGUGGGGAAUAUUGCACAAUGGGCGCAAGCCUGAUGCAGCCAUGCCGCGUGUGUGAAGAAGGCCUUCGGGUUGUAAAGCACUUUCAGCGGGGAGGAAGGCGAUAAGGUUAAUAACCUUGUCGAUUGACGUUACCCGCAGAAGAAGCACCGGCUAACUCCGUGCCAGCAGCCGCGGUAAUACGGAGGGUGCAAGCGUUAAUCGGAAUUACUGGGCGUAAAGCGCACGCAGGCGGUCUGUCAAGUCGGAUGUGAAAUCCCCGGGCUCAACCUGGGAACUGCAUUCGAAACUGGCAGGCUAGAGUCUUGUAGAGGGGGGUAGAAUUCCAGGUGUAGCGGUGAAAUGCGUAGAGAUCUGGAGGAAUACCGGUGGCGAAGGCGGCCCCCUGGACAAAGACUGACGCUCAGGUGCGAAAGCGUGGGGAGCAAACAGGAUUAGAUACCCUGGUAGUCCACGCCGUAAACGAUGUCGAUUUGGAGGUUGUGCCCUUGAGGCGUGGCUUCCGGAGCUAACGCGUUAAAUCGACCGCCUGGGGAGUACGGCCGCAAGGUUAAAACUCAAAUGAAUUGACGGGGGCCCGCACAAGCGGUGGAGCAUGUGGUUUAAUUCGAUGCAACGCGAAGAACCUUACCUGGUCUUGACAUCCACAGAACUUUCCAGAGAUGGAUUGGUGCCUUCGGGAACUGUGAGACAGGUGCUGCAUGGCUGUCGUCAGCUCGUGUUGUGAAAUGUUGGGUUAAGUCCCGCAACGAGCGCAACCCUUAUCCUUUGUUGCCAGCGGUUCGGCCGGGAACUCAAAGGAGACUGCCAGUGAUAAACUGGAGGAAGGUGGGGAUGACGUCAAGUCAUCAUGGCCCUUACGACCAGGGCUACACACGUGCUACAAUGGCAUAUACAAAGAGAAGCGACCUCGCGAGAGCAAGCGGACCUCAUAAAGUAUGUCGUAGUCCGGAUUGGAGUCUGCAACUCGACUCCAUGAAGUCGGAAUCGCUAGUAAUCGUAGAUCAGAAUGCUACGGUGAAUACGUUCCCGGGCCUUGUACACACCGCCCGUCACACCAUGGGAGUGGGUGCAAAAGAAGUAGGUAGCUUAACCUUCGGGAGGGCGCUA